AUAGCUAUUGAGCAUCUGCUCUCUGCCUGCCUGGGGCCAAGGGCCAGGCAGAUGUCGAGCAGACCUUCAGUGCUGCCCUUCCAGAUGGCCAAGGCAGGUGCACCUGUCUAUGGGUUGCAACCAGUCAUGCCUUCUCAGAGGGCAAUGCGGAUGUGGAGGUGGACCAGCUAGGCUACCUGCUGCCAUGGGCUUCCUGAAUGAGCCAGAUGCACCAAGAAGCAGAGAGAUUUAAACAAAUGCUUGCCAGAUACACAGCAGACAGUAUGCCAGCAAUGAGGGCCAGCGGGACUCGAGGAAGAGCCCACAGCUUGAUGCAGCUCCGUCCUCUCUCCCUUCUCAGGGCCGGUGGCUCUGGACAGGUCACUUGUCCUCUCCUGAGCCCUCCCUUCAUAAAACGGGGAGAACAAUGCCUGCUCCACCAAGUUGGUGAGCAAUAGGAAGGGUGUGGGCCCAUUACUCGGCUUUGGCAGAACUCCACGAGUACCAGCUGUGAUUGGCAGCCAUCGCGGUGCUGUCAAACAAGGCAGAGAGAGAAUUUUAAUAUGCAGUGUACAUGUGAGCACUACAUAUUUCCACAGAUGCCUGUCUAAUGAGCUCUUCCUAAUACUGGUAUUGGAAAACAGGUUUAUAUUACGGCUGUGAUUAAAAUAUACAUGGACAUACAAUAAAAUUUUUUUAAAGUUU
This is a long non-coding RNA of Cavia porcellus (domestic guinea pig), 684 nucleotides long. RefSeq lists it as uncharacterized. The transcript has 2 exons. Lineage: Eukaryota; Metazoa; Chordata; Mammalia; Rodentia; Caviidae. The record is from RefSeq and is a predicted model, not a curated record.